GACGAACGCUGGCGGCGUGCUUAACACAUGCAAGUCGAACGGAAAGGCCCCUUUGGGGGUACUCGAGUGGCGAACGGGUGAGUAACACGUGAGUAACCUGCCCUUGCCUUCGGGAUAACUUCAGGAAACUGGGGCUAAUACCGGAUAGGAAUCCUUGCUGCAUGGUGGGGGUUGGAAAGCUUCGGGGGUUUUGGCUGGACUCGCGGCUUAUCAGCUUGUUGGUGGGGUAGUGGCUUACCAAGGCUUUGUCGGGUAGCCGGCCUGAGAGGGCGACCGGCCACAUUGGGACUGAGAUACGGCCCAGACUCCUACGGGAGGGAGCAGUGGGGAAUAUUGCACGAUGGGCGGAAGCCUGAUGCAGCAACGCCGCGUGCGGGAUGACGGCCUUCGGGUUGUAAACCGCUUUCAGCAGGGGCGAAGCUUGUGGUGACGGUACCUGCAGAAGAAGCACCGGCUAACUACGUG
This 465-nucleotide ribosomal RNA is filed under the name uncultured bacterium. RNAcentral describes it as "partial 16S ribosomal RNA". It matches the Rfam family "Bacterial small subunit ribosomal RNA", at positions 28 to 507 of the family's 1533-position model. The record is from RNAcentral.